This 525-nucleotide ribosomal RNA is filed under the name uncultured bacterium. Its description in RNAcentral is "bacterial SSU rRNA". It matches the Rfam family "Bacterial small subunit ribosomal RNA", at positions 8 to 526 of the family's 1533-position model. The record is from RNAcentral.
AGGGUUUGAUUAUGGCUCAGGAUGAACGCUAGCGGCAGGCUUAACACAUGCAAGUCGAGGGGUAACAGGGAUUGCUUGCAAUCCGCUGACGACCGGCGCACGGGUGCGUAACGCGUAUGCAACCUACCUUCUACAGGGGAAUAGUCAAUAGAAAUGUUGAAUAAUACCCCAUACGAUCUUUGAAUAGCAUUAUUUAGAGAAGAAAGUUCCGGCGGUAGAAGAUGGGCAUGCGUCCUAUUAGUUAGUUGGGGAGGUAACGGCUCCCCAAGACAUCGAUAGGUAGGGGUCCUGAGAGGGAGACCCCCCACACUGGUACUGAGACACGGACCAGACUCCUACGGGAGGCAGCAGUGAGGAACAUUGGACAAUGGAGGCAACUCUGAUCCAGCCAUGCCGCGUGCAGGAAGACUGCCCUAUGGGUUGUAAACUGCUUUUAUACAGGAAGAAAUGUACCUACGUGUAGGUAUUUGACGGUACUGUACGAAUAAGGAUCGGCUAACUCCGUGCCAGCCGCCGCGGUAAUAC